RNAcentral lists this ribosomal RNA (464 nucleotides) under uncultured bacterium. Its description in RNAcentral is "partial 16S ribosomal RNA". It matches the Rfam family "Bacterial small subunit ribosomal RNA", at positions 28 to 507 of the family's 1533-position model. The record is from RNAcentral.
GACGAACGCUGGCGGCGUGCCUAACACAUGCAAGUCGAGCGAAUGAAGUUCCUUCGGGAAUGGAUUUAGCGGCGGACGGGUGAGUAACACGUGGGCAGCCUGCCUCAUAGAGGGGAAUAGCCUCCCGAAAGGGAGAUUAAUACCGCAUAAGAUUGUAGUACCGCAUGAUACAGCAAUUAAAGGAGCAAUCCGCUAUGAGAUGGGCCCGCGGCGCAUUAGCUAGUUGGUGAGGUAAUGGCACACCAAGGCGACGAUGCGUAGCCGACCUGAGAGGGUGAUCGGCCACAUUGGGACUGAGACACGGCCCAGACUCCUACGGGAGGCAGCAGUGGGGAAUAUUGCACAAUGGGGGAAACCCUGAUGCAGCAACGCCGCGUGAGUGAUGACGGCCUUCGGGUUGUAAAGCUCUGUCUUCAGGGACGAUAAUGACGGUACCUGAGGAGGAAGCCACGGCUAACUACGUG